AGUAACACGUGGGUAACCUGCCUGUAAGACUGGGAUAACUCCGGGAAACCGGAGCUAAUACCGGAUAGUUCCUUGAACCGCAUGGUUCAAGGAUGAAAGACGGUUUCGGCUGUCACUUACAGAUGGACCCGCGGCGCAUUAGCUAGUUGGUGGGGUAAUGGCUCACCAAGGCGACGAUGCGUAGCCGACCUGAGAGGGUGAUCGGCCACACUGGGACUGAGACACGGCCCAGACUCCUACGGGAGGCAGCAGUAGGGAAUCUUCCGCAAUGGACGAAAGUCUGACGGAGCAACGCCGCGUGAGUGAUGAAGGUUUUCGGAUCGUAAAGCUCUGUUGUUAGGGAAGAACAAGUGCGAGAGUAACUGCUCGCACCUUGACGGUACCUAACCAGAAAGCCACGGCUAACUACGUGCCAGCAGCCGCGGUAAUACGUAGGUGGCAAGCGUUGUCCGGAAUUAUUGGGCGUAAAGGGCUCGCAGGCGGUUUCUUAAGUCUGAUGUGAAAGCCCCCGGCUCAACCGGGGAGGGUCAUUGGAAACUGGGAAACUUGAGUGCAGAAGAGGAGAGUGGAAUUCCACGUGUAGCGGUGAAAUGCGUAGAGAUGUGGAGGAACACCAGUGGCGAAGGCGACUCUCUGGUCUGUAACUGACGCUGAGGAGCGAAAGCGUGGGGAGCGAACAGGAUUAGAUACCCUGGUAGUCCACGCCGUAAACGAUGAGUGCUAAGUGUUAGGGGGUUUCCGCCCCUUAGUGCUGCAGCUAACGCAUUAAGCACUCCGCCUGGGGAGUACGGUCGCAAGACUGAAACUCAAAGGAAUUGACGGGGGCCCGCACAAGCGGUGGAGCAUGUGGUUUAAUUCGAAGCAACGCGAAGAACCUUACCAGGUCUUGACAUCCUCUGACAACCCUAGAGAUAGGGCUUUCCCUUCGGGGACAGAGUGACAGGUGGUGCAUGGUUGUCGUCAGCUCGUGUCGUGAGAUGUUGGGUUAAGUCCCGCAACGAGCGCAACCCUUGAUCUUAGUUGCCAGCAUUCAGUUGGGCACUCUAAGGUGACUGCCGGUGACAAACCGGAGGAAGGUGGGGAUGACGUCAAAUCAUCAUGCCCCUUAUGACCUGGGCUACACACGUGCUACAAUGGACAGAACAAAGGGCUGCAAGACCGCAAGGUUUAGCCAAUCCCAUAAAUCUGUUCUCAGUUCGGAUCGCAGUCUGCAACUCGACUGCGUGAAGCUGGAAUCGCUAGUAAUCGCGGAUCAGCAUGCCGCGGUGAAUAC
This 1273-nucleotide ribosomal RNA is filed under the name Bacillus safensis. Its description in RNAcentral is "bacterial SSU rRNA". It matches the Rfam family "Bacterial small subunit ribosomal RNA", at positions 109 to 1369 of the family's 1533-position model. The record is from RNAcentral. Lineage: Bacteria; Bacillati; Bacillota; Bacilli; Caryophanales; Bacillaceae.